Molecule: transfer RNA, 73 nt
Filed under: Geobacter sp. SVR
Lineage: Bacteria; Pseudomonadati; Thermodesulfobacteriota; Desulfuromonadia; Geobacterales; Geobacteraceae
Rfam family: tRNA
About the family: Transfer RNA (tRNA) molecules are approximately 80 nucleotides in length. Their secondary structure includes four short double-helical elements and three loops (D, anti-codon, and T loops). Further hydrogen bonds mediate the characteristic L-shaped molecular structure. tRNAs have two regions of fundamental functional importance: the anti-codon, which is responsible for specific mRNA codon recognition, and the 3' end, to which the tRNAs corresponding amino acid is attached (by aminoacyl-tRNA synthetases). tRNAs cope with the degeneracy of the genetic code in two manners: having more than one tRNA (with a specific anti-codon) for a particular amino acid; and 'wobble' base-pairing, i.e. permitting non-standard base-pairing at the 3rd anti-codon position.
Source: Rfam by way of RNAcentral
AGCAUUUUAGCUCAGAUGGUAGAACACAUCACUCGUAAUGAUGAGGCCUUCGGUUCGACUCCGAUGAACGGUU